This 497-nucleotide ribosomal RNA is filed under the name uncultured bacterium. RNAcentral describes it as "partial 16S ribosomal RNA". It matches the Rfam family "Bacterial small subunit ribosomal RNA", at positions 28 to 507 of the family's 1533-position model. The record is from RNAcentral.
GAUGAACGCUGGCGGCGUGCCUAAUACAUGCAAGUCGAGCGAACAGACGAGGAGCUUGCUCCUUUGACGUUAGCGGCGGACGGGUGAGUAACACGUGGGUAACCUACCUAUAAGACUGGGAUAACUUCGGGAAACCGGAGCUAAUACCGGAUAAUAUUUCGAACCGCAUGGUUCGAUAGUGAAAGAUGGCUUUGCUAUCACUUAUAGAUGGACCUGCGCCGUAUUAGCUAGUUGGUAAGGUAACGGCUUACCAAGGCAACGAUACGUAGCCGACCUGAGAGGGUGAUCGGACACACUGGAACUGAGACACGGUCCAGACUCCUACGGGAGGCAGCAGUAGGGAAUCUUCCGCAAUGGGCGAAAGCCUGACGGAGCAACGCCGCGUGAGUGAUGAAGGUCUUCGGAUCGUAAAACUCUGUUAUUAGGGAAGAACAAACGUGUAAGUAACUGUGCACGUCUUGACGGUACCUAAUCAGAAAGCCACGGCUAACUACGUG